Gasterosteus aculeatus aculeatus (three-spined stickleback) is the source of this 6732-nucleotide long non-coding RNA. Lineage: Eukaryota; Metazoa; Chordata; Actinopteri; Perciformes; Gasterosteidae. The record is from Ensembl.
GCCCCCUGCUGGUCACUACAGAGAAGUAGAGUCAUUUCCUCAUAGACGUCUAUGGGAGCAGAGGAGUCGCCCCCUGCUGGUCACUACAGAGAAGUAGAGUCAUUUCCUCAUAGACGUCUAUGGGAGCAGAGGAGUCGCCCCCUGCUGGUCACUACACAGAAUGCAGCUUUAACACAUGAAGCUUUGACUUAGAGAAGCAGAGGUGGUCUCCUGGUAACGAUGGAGGAAUCAUUAACUACGUAUCUGGAUCCUGUGAUGGUAAAGUACAGGAAGUCCUCCUCAUGUCCAUCCCUUCUUCUUCUCUGGUCUGUUCGUCUCUUCUGACCUACUUUCAUCUGCUGCUGGUAUUCCUGUUCGUCUGUCACGCUGAGUCCUUUCUGCUGGAGGCGUGGGGGGGGGGGGGGGUCCCUCCUUCAGUGAUGGAGCGACCUGACGGAGGUCUGUAAAAUGACUUUAAUCACCCCCCCCACCCCCCCUCCCUCGUGUGUGUUGCUGAGGCCUCACAAAGACGAUGCUCAGACUUUCUUCUUAAUGUCCUCAAUUCUCUGGACCCCAACAAGCAGUUUGGGGACUUGUUUGCUCCCGUCAAGUUGUUGCUGUUGUUUUAUAUUCACGGUGUUACGCCGAGUUCUGGUCACAUGACAGCUGAUCUCCGAUGAGUCAAUGAGGAUAAAGAUGACGUCAUAGUUUCACUGAGCAGCUCUGGCUUGAAUGUUUUUUAACGAGAGUCCGAAUAAAAGAAACGUGUUUUGAUAAAUGACAGUGAAAUGUUGUUUUUGGAUGUAAGCUUGUGUGGCUGCUCACGUUGAAGGACGGCCUUUCAGUUCAGAGGGUUUAACGAGUGAAUUAUUCAUGUCGCCUCAUCUCCUGAUGUAAGAAGUCUCUUCCUGUGUGUGUGUGUGUGUGUGUGUGUGUGCGCAGGCUUUUGUAUAGCAUUACAUAGUGUGUCUUAUGUAACUCUCCAUUGGUUUGGUCUCCAACGUUGCUCUCUUUGUUUGUCUGACAGCUCCAACCCCAGUGCAUUGUGGGAGGAUCUUUUCUCAGAUUCUCCUAAAACUGUCUCUGUCUUCAUCUCAAAUGUCCAGAUGUCCUCUGAUUCGGGACAUUAAUUAAUCUCACAUAUCUUUUUAGAGGGAUUCCGGUUUUAGUUGUAAACACUUUAAUAAUGUUUGAAGUUGUGGUUCCUGAGGACAUGGACGGUCUUCUGUGUCUCUGCUCAGCUUCCUCUCCUGUCACGUAGACAUAAAGUUUUGAAUUGUGCUUCGUGUUCCAGAGAAAGAGUUCUAGUGUGUCUGUCCUCGCCGUGGUUACGCUGGGUUCUGACUUAAAGACACUCCUGCUAGCAAGAGCGGUUCCGCUGUCGCUAUAGCAACAGCUUGGGCUUUCUCUGCCAUGGCCGCUGGGGGGUCAAACAUAUCGUCUUUGACCUGACCAGUAAAGCCAAAGACAGGGUCAAAGGUCACUUUUAUAAAUAUUGAACUUAUCUUAUGUUUAAAUACCAAAAGAAUCUGAUUCAGACCGAAGGGAUUCUGAGCGACUUAAACGAGACUAAUGGCGCGUUUCCACCGAGCGGGUCGGUACCGGUCGGGUCUGUUAACCAUGAUUUGGCGAGCAUUUCCACCGCCAACAGUACCCUUACUUGAUAGGCGUGGUGUAUUCCAGAAAGCAGUGAUGACGUCACUUGAUGGGCGUGGUACAUGACGGAAAGUAGAUUGACGUCAUUCGAUCGCGCGAAAACUGAAAGCUAACCGCAAACAACAACGGAGGACGGACAGCCGAUCCUGUUCCUGCUUCUCCACAUGUGGCCGUUUGUCACAAGGAGACGACACUCUUUGUUUGAGCAAAGGCUGCAUGCUGCAGGCGUGUUACGUGUGUUGUCUUUCCCCUUGCGGCACGCGCAAAUGACGACACUCUUUCAACCAAUCAACACUCUGCAGUGAGUCUAGCUCCGCCCUUUAGUACCAAACAACUGUGCCAGGUGCCCCAACGGAAGGGAACCCAAAGAGUGCUACGGUACGGUACGAAUUUUUGGUACCAUUCUCAACUUUUGGCAGUCGACCCGUAGCGUACCGUACCGCUCGGUGGAAACACACCAUUAAAGAUCAUGUGACAUAUUUCUAUUGUUUCAUAUGUAUAUAUUACUUAAAUCCGCUCUAACGUGUUUGUGUGCCCAAUAUUAACAACAAUGAUAAUAAUAUCAAAACAAUAACAAUAAUACAGAUACAAAUAAAAUUAACACCAAUAAUACUGAUACUGAUAAUAUAAUGAUGAUGAUGAUGAUAAUGAUAAUAAAGAGGUUUUGGUGUUCUGGUGUUUACUCUAAAAGAUGCCUUUAAAUAGUAGUAAUAGUAGUAGUAGUAAUGACAGUAGUAGUAGUAGUUGUCACGACUCCACUGUGAUGUCAGCUCGGCUGUUUGCUCUGUGUGUGUGUGUGUGUGUGUGUGUGUGUGUGUGUGUGUGUGCGUGUGUGUGUGUGUGUGUGUGUGCGUGGUGCUGGACACACCUCUUCAGACUCUACCUCCACUAACACACUAACUUACUGCAGCACUUACAUUGGACUUAUAACGGCUCUUAUCUAUCGCAAGUUGUACAUCGGCUUAUUUGAUGAAAUUGGACUCUUGUUUCUUGUUCUUCUGAGUUUUGAAAGAACACACGAAGCAAACAAACGUGAUGAAAAAUUGGAAGCCCGGUUGGGGACAUCUGGAAGGAUUCGGCCAAACAACUUCUCUCGUUCUGGUAGAUUUAUUCGUCAGAUCACAACUCAAGUAUCAGCGCUGCGUUUGCAAAGGCAGGAGGCCGGAAGAACAAGGGACUAACAUCAGGGAGAACAUUACAUUUUGUAUUUCUUGUUGGAUAUAAAAGAAAAGAUUUCUAUUCGCCCCAAACCGGCGUUGAGGAGCAAGUUCACCACAACACAAGAUCCAAUCACAUGCAAUGUGUGGUCUCCUAACAUAAUGUGAGCUUAUGGUUGAAAUGCACUUAUUGUAAGUCGCUUUGGAUAAAAGCGUCAGAUAAAUGACAUGUGAUGUAAUGUAGUAGUAACAGUGGUAAUAGUAACAGUAGUGGCAGUAACAGUAGUGGUAGUAACAGUAGUAAUAGUAACAGUAGUGGUAGUAACAGUAGUAAUAGUACCAGUAGUGGUAGUAACAGUAGUAACAGUAGUAAUAGUAACAGUAGUAAUAGUAACAGUAGUAACAGUAGUAAUAGUACCAGUAGUGGUAGUAACAGUAGUAACAGUAGUAAUAGUAACAGUAGUAAUAGUAACAGUAGUAACAGUAGUAAUAGUAACAGUAGUGGCAGUAACAGUAGUGGUAGUAACAGUAGUAACAGUAGUAAUAGUAACAGUAGUGGCAGUAACAGUAGUGGUAGUAACAGUAGUAACAGUAGUAAUAGUAACAGUAGUGGCAGUAACAGUAGUUACUAUGAUUCACUGUUUGUUUGCAUUCAGUAACAGGUUUUGUUGGCGAGGGGGGGCUGGACAUGUUGAACAGUUAGCGCUGGACCAAUUAUCUCUAUCUCCCUCCUUUCUACCCUCUCUCACCCCUCCCCCCCCUCUCCCUCCCUCUAUCCAUCUCUCCCUUAGUGUGAUGAAUAUUUCACAUGCAAUGUCUAUUUAUAGAUAUGACAUUGCCGCAUCCAUCGAGCACCGAGUUCAUCCACACGUUUUAGGUCGAAAUUCAAGUCUCAAGAUCAGCUGUUGAUAAUCAAUAAGUCUAAUGUUUGAUCAAUCAAUCAAUCAGCUGUUCUCUAAUAUACUUUAGAAUAAAAAAUUACAUCAAAUUCAGAUCAACCAAUCAAGUUAUUGUUUGUGUGUGUUUGUGUUGACCUGCAGGUUUCUCAUUGACUUCCUGUAAUGGCCUCACUGAGUGGUGGAGGGACCAGAGGUCAAAGAGCUGCUGUCCCCGUGUGUGUGUGUGUGUGUGUGUGUGUGUGCAUGUAUAUAUAUAUAUAUAUAUAUAUAUAUAUAUAUGUAUGUAUAUAUAUGUAUAUAUUUAUAUACAUAUAUAUGUGUAUAUGUAUAUACAUAUGUAUAUGUGUAUAUGUAUAUGUGUAUAUGUAUAUAUAUUAAAAAAUGUAUAUAAAAGCAUGCACAUGCAUUCACGGGAGGCUGAGGGGGAAAGUGGGAGUUUCCCAUGAAGAGAUGGGAGGGGUCCGUAAAGUGCGUCCAAUUAUGUACAUUUACAAAUGCACACACAUGAAGGCCUCUGAGUGUCUCUGUCUCUCUCUGUCUGUCUCCUCCCUCUCCUCCUGUCUCUUGUUAUUUGAUGGACGGAUGGAUAUGUCCUGGUUAGGCUCAGCCUAUUAGGCCGUGAAAUCGUCCGGUGACGUUGAGUUCUUGUGCAGUCAUAUAGACGAUGAUGAAGGUGGAUGAAGAUGGGAACCUUUCUGGAGUCCAGCCGAAGGAGACGUGUUGACCACAGAGUCGGGUUUAAGGUCAGGUGACGCCUACGUGGACGUCCCCACACGCUCGUUACACAUAAAACAAGAACAGGUAGUCAUGCACACUCAGGCUUUUAUUUUGAAGGACCAUAAUCCAAACUCUUGAGUUGACUCAAGGCGACGCCCCUCAGGUGGUGACAUCAUCAGGAUGAGUACAUCACAUUACAGGUCCUCACGUUACACUUUUAACACAUAGCUUUUUACAUUUUGUCCUUCUUCUUCUUCUUCUUCUUCUUCUUCUUCUUCUUCUUCUUCUUCUUCUUCUUCGGUAACAAGCUGCUGAAGGCAGAAGCUUUCGCCCAAACAAAUCCACCGCUUUCAAUCACAAGAAGUCUGACAACGCCUCCGCGUCCGUUCCUCCCCCCCCCCACAAACAUCACCACAACACAUCCCCGCAGGCGGCGCUAGGAUGGUUGACACACACACCGCGAGCCCUUCGCUGACCUUCUGAACUCAGUAAAUGUGUGACCUCGCUCGCAGAACGUGUCAGUACGUCACAGUGUGAAGAAGACGAGGAGGAGGAAGCUCAUGAAGGAUGUCAGCGGGUUUCUAGGUUGAUGAUUCGUCUCCUCGUGGCGUUCAUUUAGAACAUGUGGGUUGAUGGGAACAUCUGCUCACUAAGCCCCGCCCCCUCCUCCCUGUUGUGGCGGUUCGGUUGUGCGUCCAUGUGGGGGUCGGGGGGGCGUGGCCCCGCGAUGCUGUCCGGGGAGCUGCUGGGUCCAGAUGGCUGAAAGUAGAGCAGUGGGCUAAGCCCCCGUCCACCGGCUUACUGUGUGUGUGUGUGUGUGUGUGUGUGUGUGUGUGUGUGUGUGUGUCGUCUUAGCACAGCCCUCUGUGUGUAGCUGUUAUCAUGACUUACAUCUCCUGAUUAAUAAUGAACAGCACAUUAGUCACACUUCACUGUGUUCUCUAUCUACAGUGUGUGUGUGUGUGUGUGUCUGUCUGUCUGUGUGUGUGUGUAGUUGUACGGUCGGUGGUGGCGUGUGGAGUAGAGAGGGAGCACUGCGAACCCCAAGGUUGACGGUUCGAGUCCCGGCUGCUCCAUGUCCCAUGUUGAAGUGUCCCUGAGCAAGACACCAGACCCCCGAUUGCUCCCCGGGCAGAAAUGUAAUGUCGCUUUGGAUAAAAGCGUCUGAUAAAUGACCUGUAAUCUGACGUAUAAUCCCAAAGCAUAUUUUAUUGCGAGACCCCCCCCGGCCCCCCUCCUACACGGCCGUGUGGGAAUGAGGGAGAUGAGCCUGAGCGCUUUCAUGCUACUUAAUGUGCUGCGUGUCGCUGGAGGCCACGAGCAACAGCUGGACCCCCCCAACCCCCCCAGCACCAAUUACAUCUCUACACAGGCUUAGCUGGGCCCACCACACACACGCACGCACGCACACACACACACGCACGCACGCACACGCACACACACACACACUUGUGUUUCUUCUUCUUCUUCUUCUUCUUCCUCAUCUGGCUGAAUGUGAUUGGACGAGGGUUUGUGCCUGAUUGCGGUUAAUUCUGUGCUUAAUGGGAACACAAGGAUCUGUGUCAUGCUGGAUUUGUGAUGAUGAGGCUGAUGAUGAUGAUGGGAAUGAUGAGGAUGGUGGUGAUGAUGAGGAUGAUGUUUAGUAUUAGGGUGAUGAUGAUGAUGGUGAUGAUGAUGGUAGUGAUGAAGAUGAUGAGGAUGAUGUUUAGUAUUAGGGUGAUGAUGAUGAUGGUGAUGAUGAUGGUAGUGAUGAAGAUGAUGAGGAUGAUGUUUAGUAUUAGGGUGAUGAUGAGGCUGAUGAGGAUGAUGGGAAUGAUGAGGAUGGUGGUGAUGAAGAUGAUGAGGAUGAUGUUUAGUAUUAGGGUGAUGAUGAUGAUGAUGAUGAUGUUUAGUAUUAGGGUGAUGAUGAUGAUGGUGAUGAUGAUGGUAGUGAUGAAGAUGAUGAGGAUGAUGUUUAGUAUUAGGGUGAUGAUGAUGAUGAUGAUGAUGAUGAUGUGAAUGAUGAGUCCAGUUAUGAUUCAAACAUUUCCAACAUCUCCAGUGUUGUAAAGAGUCAAAAUGUAUUUAAAUAAACCCAGAAGUUCUCAUUUUGAAAAUUAAAAAACGUUUUUAAUCUCACGAGAUAAUCCGCUUCCAUCAUAUUUGUUGGUAUUCGGCCUUAAUCCCCUUUAAUGUUUGUUCUUUUCUCCCAGUCAAAUAAAUCCUUUGUUGUUUCAUUUGAAUGACAGCUCCUAAAGACACGCCCCUUUGUGGGUUGUGUUAGUCGGACCAUUACAACACACUGUGUUUGUCGAGUGGAACGCUGUGCCGACACAUUCCCCGAC